RNAcentral lists this long non-coding RNA (1154 nucleotides) under Urocitellus parryii (Arctic ground squirrel). RNAcentral describes it as "lncRNA (ENSUPAG00010020422.1)". Lineage: Eukaryota; Metazoa; Chordata; Mammalia; Rodentia; Sciuridae. The record is from RNAcentral.
GGAGGAGAAGCCAAGUUAUCAAGGUAGUGGAAGACAUUGGGGGUUUGCUGGAGGAAUGACCUCCUUAGCACCUGAGCCAACCAUUUCCAACAGGGCAGCCAAAGGCACAGAGGUUUUAAGCCAAAUUAAAUACACACACACACACACACACACACACACACGUUCCUAGAAAAAGAAGAGAGGAGAGGCGGGGAGUGAGGGAGAAAAGAGAGAGAGAGGGUGGAGAGGAAAGAGAGAAAGACCAACAGACCUGGGAGACAAGAGGAAAAAAGGACUGGAGGAGUGGGACUGAGAGAGAGAGAAAGGAGGGAGAGGGCAGCAAAAAAAGAGAAAAAGAAAGACGGGGAAGAGGAAAAAACAUGGCGCUUGCGAGCUGUAUGUGCAAAAUCCGCAAGGAAUUGCAGUAAAUUCCUUUUUGUUUGAAGAAAAUUUACAACUUGGUAAUAGACCUUUUUAUGACCUAUUUGCGGUCGUCAUUGGCUGCGGCUGGUCAUGUGCAGGCGCCGCUCGCCUUCACGGCCUUUUUCCUGAUUUCCCAGGCGAAUUUCCCCCCGCAUUCUGCUUUCCCAGAGCCUCACCCCCUCUUUUUCUAACCUUUGUCUCUGCAGAGGUGGGCUCCAGUCGGCGGCUGCGGGGUUGCGGGGUCCGUUGCGGCCUCGGCUCCUGCCCGGCGCCGGGCCUGACCCUACGGCCGCUAGCUCCGGACGCACCGUGGCCGCCUCCGGAGCUGGUGGGGAGCCCGGAAGGAGCCCCAGGCGCCGAGCCCCCCGCCGGCGCUGACACCGCCUGCCGGCAGCAGCAGGCCUGCUCCGAGUGACUAGCCGCGCGGUUCCGACGCGGUUUCUUCUCCAACAUGAGCCAGUUCCUGCUGCCCAGAGUGCGCGCAGCCAGGCUGUGCUUAGUGGAUUACAGCAGCCGCCCAGGCCGACCGCCGGCUCCCGCUGGACAGCCUCCGGCCUGGUGCGUCUGCUUUGGGAAGAGGCCUUUCCUCUUGGCGCCUGUUCAAACCGCCAAACUUAAGGCCAAUCUUUCAGGCAGACCAUUCCCGGAUCUUGUUACGCCAGCGCAGCACGUUCGAGGGCUGGGGUGGGGAGAGCGGCUCAGCGGAGAGCAGUCAAGUAAAUAAAUAAAUAAACCGACAAACUGGACGGAUU